CCUACGGGUGGCAGCAGUCGAGAAUUUUUCUCAAUGGGCGCAAGCCUGAAGGAGCGACGCCGCGUGGGGGAUGAAGGGUUUCGAUCCGUAAACCCCUGUCAUUUGUGAACAAUGGUUAUUAUUUAAAAGAUGAUGACUUGAUAGUAAUGAAAGAGGAAGGGACGGCUAACUCUGUGCCAGCAGCCGCGGUAAUACAGAGGUCCCGAGCGUUGUUCGGAUUCACUGGGCGUAAAGGGUGCGUAGGUGGCUUGGUAAGUUUGAUGUGAAAGCUCAGGGCUCAACCCUGAAAUGGCAUUGAAUACUAUUGAGCUGGAGGUUUGGAGGGGGGACUGGAAUUCUCGGUGUAGCAGUGAAAUGCGUAGAUAUCGAGAGGAACACCAGUGGCGAAGGCGAGUCCCUGGACAACACCUGACACUGAGGCACGAAAGCUAGGGGAGCAA
This 440-nucleotide ribosomal RNA is filed under the name uncultured bacterium. RNAcentral describes it as "bacterial SSU rRNA". It matches the Rfam family "Bacterial small subunit ribosomal RNA", at positions 338 to 771 of the family's 1533-position model. The record is from RNAcentral.